Molecule: ribosomal RNA, 406 nt
Filed under: uncultured bacterium
Lineage: Bacteria
Description: bacterial SSU rRNA
Rfam family: Bacterial small subunit ribosomal RNA
Source: RNAcentral
UUUUGGACAAUGGGCGCAAGCCUGAUCCAGCCAUUCCGCGUGAGUGAAGAAGGCCUUCGGGUUGUAAAGCUCUUUAACAAAGGAAGAAAGGUUACUGUUUAAUACCCAGUGGCUAUGACGGUACUUGCAUAAUAAGCACCGGCUAACUAUGUGCCAGCAGCCGCGGUAAUACGUAGGGUGCGAGCGUUAAUCGGAAUUACUGGGCGUAAAGCGCGCGUAGGCGGUUUUGUAAGUUUGGAUGUGAAAUCCCCGGGCUCAACUUGGGAACUGCGUUUAAAACUACAAGACUAGAAUAGGUGAGAGGGGGGUAGAAUUCCAGGUGUAGCGGUGAAAUGCGUAGAUAUGUGGAGGAAUAUCAAUGGCGAAGGCAGCCUUCCUGGAUAUAUAUUGACGCUCAUGCGCGAAA